CUGCUCACUACAUUGAACUGCCCCUCCGACGGAGAACACCUUCACAGGGAUGGGGUUGCUGUAUGGUCCCCCUCAAGGGGACUUAUCAUCACAGCUUGCUCCUAACAUUCCUUCAUGCAUUUUAGUUGUCUGCAGCUGGUGCCUGUGGGAGACCCCACUGUGGUUCUUUUGUCCACAACUGAAGUAGCCAGGGGGGCGGCGGAGCACACAUCAGAGAUUCAGUGGAACCAAGAUUUGAGAGGGAUCUCCCUGCAUUACUGAGGAGAAAGACGAGAAGAUACAGAAAAGAGAAACUUGCCCAAAUCUGAGAGUGGAGCCAAAACGAGGAGGAGGGAGGAGGUGGCCAGAUGUGGGCCAGCCAAAACCCAGGGAGGCAGAGAUAUAUUCCUGAGGCAAGAGAUGUCCCAUUCAAACUAUCCCUAGAUAUUCCAAAUUCCUUUGAAAACAGGAGAAAUUAGCAUGUCUUGAAAGGCACAAGGGCAGGAAAUGAAGGAAGAGGAGAGGCCCAGCAUGGGGAAGUCAUUCUGGGCUGUGACAUCACAGGCAGCGCACCUGUCAGGGCAGUGGAGAACUGCCGCCUACUUCUUACCACUGAGGACCAGACUGUGCCUGUCUCCACCAUGGGCUCCGGGUUCCUCUGCUGUAUGGUCCUCUGCCUCCUGGGAGCAGCACCCCUGGACACAACAGUUUCCCAGACUCCAAGAUACCUCAUCGCGCACGUGGGAUCGAAGAAGUUACUAAAAUGUGAGCAAAAUCUGGGCCAUAAUGCUAUGUACUGGUAUAAGCAAGACCUCAAGCAACUGCUGAACGUUAUGUUUAUCUACAACAAUAAGGAACUCAUUCUAAAUGAAUCAGUUCCAGGUCGUUUCUCACCUGAGACAUCUGACAAAUCUCAUUUAAACCUUCAUGUCGACUCCCUGGAGACAGGUGACUCUGCUGUGUAUUUCUGUGCCAGCAGCCAAGACACAGCCCUACACACUCACUACACCCCUGUGCACAAACCCCCUGGCCCAGCCAGGAAGCUGUGGGGACUAUAUGUUCACAUGAACCUAAGCUCCAUUCACCACCACCCCCAAUGCCCUCGUGAGAUCUCUGAAUGGAGUUUCCAAUCUGUAGUACAGGCUGCCAACAUCCCUGAUGGGGCAGAUCUACAAUUAAGCUCUGACAAGUCUCACAGAAAUCCAUUUAUCACCUAG
This is a non-coding RNA of Canis lupus familiaris (dog), 1196 nucleotides long. The record is from the annotation of a RefSeq genome assembly. NCBI's taxonomy places the organism in Eukaryota, Metazoa, Chordata, Mammalia, Carnivora, Canidae.